UCAAGGCACAGAUUUCAGAGAACAGA
RNAcentral lists this non-coding RNA (26 nucleotides) under Mus musculus (house mouse). Lineage: Eukaryota; Metazoa; Chordata; Mammalia; Rodentia; Muridae. The record is from RNAcentral.